Non-coding RNA from Oncorhynchus mykiss (rainbow trout), 1066 nucleotides. The record is from RefSeq and is a predicted model, not a curated record. NCBI's taxonomy places the organism in Eukaryota, Metazoa, Chordata, Actinopteri, Salmoniformes, Salmonidae.
UCUGUUAGACAAAAUGCACAGCUGGGUGCCAAACGGAUCCCCUGGUCAUGAACGGAGGCCGAGACCUACCAGAAGGAGCAAAGCUUGUCAGGCAAGACCUCAGAAUAAAACCGUGUCAUGCGACAAGUACCCUUGUGACAUCUCCUAAAUUGUUGCCAGUGUCUCCCUUGACUCCCAUGAAAAGUACACGCCAUCAUGGCGCUUCUGAUAGUGACCCGAGUUACUGCCCUGAUGACACAGACGGCUUCAUCAACAACGACAGGCCCUCCCAGUCAACAUUACCUCAUACGAUUGCCUGCUGCAGUUGUUCGAGAGAUGUCCAGCUUGCAGCCGAACAUGCAGCAUAGAGAAGACCUGCAAACGGGGCCCUCAUCAGCAUCAUGCAGACAUGCCCUCGCUGUGAGCAUACCUAUGAAUAUAACGGUCAGCCACAUGUUGGCAAGUGUCCAGCCAGCAACCUUCACCUCUCAGUGGCAACAGCUUUCACAGUAUAAUCAUUUGUACAAAUACAGAAGGUAACCCACUUCAUUACUUUGAUACAUUUGAUAGCCCAAUUAUAAAACAUAAUAUGUAAACUGACAUUAUUUGUUGCUUAUUUUCUACUUAUUAGGUGCAUAUAAUAAUAGCCGGAUCAACUCUAUUUCAAAGGAGAUGUUGUACUGCAUGAAGAAGCUCAUGCACUAUGACACAUCUCCUUUGCAUGGAGUUCAUCCGGCUGGUGGAAUGUUGUCCCACUCCUCAGCUUCCUCACACCAGAUACUGACAGUUUUUUUUUUUAAUCCACGCCCCAGCCCUUACUUUUUUUAAGAUACAGUAUCUGUGACCAACAGGUGCAUAUCUGUAUUCUCAGUCUUGCGCAAAUCCAUUAGAGCAUAAUUAAUUUACUGUAUUUCAGUUGGCUGAUUUCCUUUAUGAACUGUAACUCUGUAAAAUCUUUGAAACUGUCGCAUGUUGCGUUUAUAUUUGUGUUCAGUGUAUAUAUACAGUGCCUUUGGGAAGUAUUCAGACACCUUGACUGUUUCCAAUCUUGUUAGGUUACAGGCUUAUUUUAAAAUUGAUAGACACA